Molecule: long non-coding RNA, 558 nt
Filed under: Marmota monax (woodchuck)
Lineage: Eukaryota; Metazoa; Chordata; Mammalia; Rodentia; Sciuridae
Source: RNAcentral
CUACAUUCAAUGUCACUGCAAAAUGUCCUAUUUCCACGAGUCCUUCCACUAAGCAACAUGGGGUACGCUGGCAAGGAAAUUGUCAUACCUACUUGGCUAAUGGCUCCCAGCAUCUCCCCCCUUCUGAUUAAUUAAACAACAAGCAAUGUGGCUUAAGGACCAUGCCUGGUAGGUUGUCCAAUUCAACAUAUGGUUCUUACCCGUCAUCGGAAAACUGACCUUUAGGCGUCAGCCUCCUGUCUUAGGUUGAUACCACUGCAAUUGAAUCAUACCCGUCACUGACUACCGGUCCAGCAUACAGCCAUACUUGUGGAUAGGUCUAUGCACCAGUGAGGGGUGAGGUUCUUUGCCUCACCUCUGUUGGCCCCCAAAUUUGGCCUUGGUGCCAGUGGGGGAGUGAGGUUAAUGUGGCUUAAGGACCAUGCCUGGUAGGUUGUCCAAUUCAACAUAUGGUUCUUACCCGUCAUCGGAAAACUGACCUUUAGGCGUCAGCCUCCUGUCUUAGGUUGAUACCACUGCAAUUGGAUCAUACCCGUCACUGACUACCGGUCCAGCAUA